AUGCUGGAUCUACCGGAUUAUCUAAUACCAAGACUUAAGAUGCGAUUCAAAGAUGUAGAGAAAGCAAGGGAAUUUUAUAACAGAUACGCCAGGCACGCUGGUUUUGGAAUCAGGAAGACGGGUGGAAAUGACAACCACAAGUAUUUUGUUUGCGCCUUCCAAGGGAUACACACAUCUUCUGUUUCAGAGGCCAAUAGGAAGCGAAACAAAACAUCGCAGAGGACGGGCUGCAAUGCAAGAAUGAGGGUGAAGGUGCAGGAGGAUGGCACAUGCAUGGCAGUGGACAUUGAGUACAAUCAUAAUCACCAGCUCAUGCAAACUGAUGACAUCCUGGUAUUCUUGCACUCACACAAGAAUUAUGACCCCACUAUUCUGGAGUAUGUAAAGCUCCUGCAGUACCAUGAUGUCAAGAACACAACAAUCAUGUCCAUGCUAUCUAAAAAUGAAGAUGGAAGCUACUUCCUAAGCAUGACCGGACGAGACCUGCUAAACCAGAAAGCCAUGAAUGCAAGGAAAGAAGAUCUGGAUGAUGUAUUAAAACUUGUUUCAUUCUUCAAAGACAUGAAGGCAAUAAAUGAUGAGUUCUUCUAUGACAUCCAAGUGGACAAGGACAAGUCAAUUAAAAACAUUUUCUGGUCCAAUGCAAGCUGCCGAGGAGCCUACCAAGACGGUGAUUGCGUAACAUUCGACACGACUAACAAGACCAACAGAUUUCAUAUGCCCCUGGGAGUGUUUGUUGGAACAAACCAUCACUUGCAGUCAACGAUAUUUGCCGUUGCCCUGAUAAGGGACGAAGAUGCAAAGUCAUUCAAGUGGCUGUUCGAUACAUUUCUAUGGUGCAUGAACAACAAGCACCCAACUUGCAUUCUCACAGACCAGUGCCCAUCGAUGGCGAAAGCUAUACCGCAAUCAUUUCCAAACACCAUCCACAAGCUAUGCCGUUGGCACAUAUUGAAGAAGUACAGGGAAUACCUCGCGUUGCUGUACAAAAAGUAUGAUACACUCAAAGAGGAGUUCACAGCUAUAUUGAACUGGCCGCUGAUGCCAACGGAGUUUGAAGAUGCCUGGGCUGAACUCGUGCACAAGUACCACCUGGAGAAUGACCAAAUGAUGAUGCAGCUCUGGAGUGAUAGGAAGAUGUGGAUCUCAGCAUAUUACAAGAACAUUUUCUGUGCUAGAAUGACUUCCACACAACGAAGCGAGAGCAUGAACCACGUGCUAAAGAAAGGGUGUGUCAAGGGGACCUAG
Molecule: ribosomal RNA, 1248 nt
Filed under: Triticum aestivum (bread wheat)
Lineage: Eukaryota; Viridiplantae; Streptophyta; Magnoliopsida; Poales; Poaceae
Description: partial small subunit ribosomal RNA
Source: RNAcentral